CUACGGGGGGCUCCAGUGGGGAAUAUUGGGCAAUGGGCGCAAGCCUGACCCAGCAACGCCGCGUGAGGGAAGAAGGUUUUCGGAUUGUAAACCUCUGUCCUUGGGGACGAAGAAGUGACGGUACCCAAGGAGGAAGCUCCGGCUAACUACGGUGCCAGCAGCCGCGGUAAUACGUAGGGAGCGAGCGUUGUCCGGAAUUACUGGGCGUAAAGGGUGCGUAGGCGGCAUAUUAAGUCAGGUGUGAAAUACCCGGGCUCAACCCGGGGGGUGCAUUUGAAACUGAUACGCUUGAGUGUGAGAGAGGAAAGUGGAAUUCCUAGUGUAGCGGUGAAAUGCGUAGAUAUUAGGAGGAGCACCAGUGGCGAAGGCGACUUUCUGGCUCAUAACUGACGCUGAGGCACGAAAGCGUGGGGAGCAAACAGGAUUAGAUACCCUGCGUAGUC
This 443-nucleotide ribosomal RNA is filed under the name uncultured bacterium. RNAcentral's name for it is "partial 16S ribosomal RNA". It matches the Rfam family "Bacterial small subunit ribosomal RNA", at positions 339 to 795 of the family's 1533-position model. The record is from RNAcentral.